GUUUGAGGCAGUGGAAAUAUUCAAUGAUGCACGGAAAUGAGGAUGGGAUGUGCAAGCAUAUGAAGUCAUUAUUGUUCAGACAGAUAUCCCCAUCUGAUAUUAUGACAUGGUAAUGUUGAAGUAUCUCAUGUAAUACCAUAUAGACACUCAAUACUGUUGUACUGCCAAAGCUCUGUAGUGGAAAUCACUGCAUGGGCUCAAAAUCCCCUCUAAAUCCAACUGUCUUGGACGACAGUUUGCAAACGCAGGUUGAAACGGAACCAUGCAUCAGGAUGGGGGUGGGGAUAAAGUUGGUAUUCUGGCAAAAUUCUUCUUGGUAGUGUUGUGUUGUUCGCAAACGAUUUGUUCAAAAGAACCAAAUCUUUCAAGUGACCCUACCGAACUGAAUAUCUUCCUCAAGUGAUUCGUUUUUUUCUCACUUCAGUUGCUAUAGCACGCAGCAAAGUCAGGUGAGCAGCCAGCAGACGAGGGACCGCAUUUAGAAUUCUUCUAAAAUUUCAGUGAACGCAGGCCCGGCGGCAUGGGUGGGCACUGGGGGGCUGUGCCCACCCACGGAGUCAGCUGUGCCUGCCCUUGUUUAUUUGAUUCAGGGUCUGUUUUUUUUCCGUCAGAGUAGUCUUCUUCAGUCAAUCCCAUAUAUCUUGACAUGUCAUCAAUCCAACCAAUCCAAUCGAUCGAAGGCAAUGUGUUAGCUAAUUACAGGUAAAGGGGGGCAGGCCACUUACCAAGUCAAAGGUCAAAUAUUCAUAGAUGGACUUGGCGCGGCAGAAGGCGGACUCAGUGGUAAGCACCGGCUUUCUAUUAAAAAUGGAUAUAAAAGGUUUUUUUGUUGGCCAAAAAAGAACGACGACCACUGACAGGAGCUAGCAGAAAGCGGUGGCAGCACUACAAAGCUCUAAUUUUAGGAAGCUAAGCACUGAAGCUAACAGUCACACCAAUCACUUCUUUGUGCAAAGCAUGACAUGCACAAACAAUAUGAGCAAGAGGCAGCUAAUGCGACGUUGGGAGCAUUAGCUUUUUGGAGCUAAAGUUAGCAGAAACGUCACUAACGUUGUCACGUAGCACGUAGGUUUGAAGUGUUGGACAACAGUGCUGCAACUCUCUUACGGCAUAACCUGCAGAUUGGUGUCAGGUUGACCUGCUCUGUCUGUUUUGUGAAGCUGUAAAACGUCCGUACUGCCGACGAAACCUUUUUAAUAGGAGGAUACAGCCGAGGCGUUUCGUCAUUCUCAGUCUCCGACUGCUCUUGGUCCAGCUGCAUCGUUACGUUGGCUGGAAGUUUGAACGUGUGUCAAACUUCAAACUGUUUCUGGUUCACAGAGGGGACACCCUCCAACAGUGCUUUGUGUGGCCGCAAUGCAUUGUGGGUGGCCACGCAUUUCUUGUAAAAUUUCUUCAUUUUCUCUUUUAAUGUUCCCGUUUUUGUUAGGCUGGCAUUAAUGUACUCAAUCCGAGAGUUUGUUUUGGAUUUGGGACGACUUUUGUGGUGGUUUGUUUGUACAUUUUGCCACCGAGGCUUUGACACCGUGGGUAAGACUACAAGCGGGUUAGGUUGGUAAGCAGUCGGCUUCGCUCGCCUCCAUUGAGUGACGCUGACACUCGUCUUUAAAUUAUAAUUGUGGGACGAUUAUUACAGUACCUUACGAUUUCAUCACUGCAGCCGUUUAAUAUCGCAUAUCGCGAUUAAUUUGUAUAUCGGCACAUCCCUAAUCACCGCACCAGUUUUUAACAGUCCAGUAGAGGGAAUUUCCUUGCACACACCUGACCACCUGUGACUAAGCAUUUUCUGACCCUCCUUUAAAAGUGAUGCAGAAGGGACCCGAGGUGGUCCACAAAUUCCUUCUUCUUCUUCUUCUUCUUAUUAUUAUUAUUAUUAUUACGAUUAUUGUUGUUAUUAUUAUUAUUAUUAUUAUUAUUACUAUUAUUAUUAUUAUUAUUAUUAUUAUUAUUAUUAUUAUUAUUAUUAUUGUUAUUAUUAUUAUUAUUGUUGUAGUUGUUGUUGUUGUUAUUGUUGUUGUUGUUGUUGUUAUUAUUAUUGUUGUUAUUAUUAUUAUUAUUAUUAUUGAUAUUGUUCGUGUAGUAUAAUUUUCUUUUUCUUUUGCUUGUCUGACAAUUGUAAUAUUUAUUUAUUUAUUUAUUUUUUUCAUUAUUAUUCACAUAUAUAAUACACACACACACACACACACACACACACACACACACACAAAACCACAAAUGCCAUUGUUUGUUGUAUGUCUUGUAUUGUCACACUGCACAAAUAAAAAAAAAAAAAAAAAAAGUGAUGCAGAAGACGAGGACUCCUCCUUGAAGCAGAUGACAGUGGCAUUUCUCCCCUGCCUCUUUAAUAAGCCCCAUUUAGCACUCUCAACACUCUCACACACUCAUGAGUAAAUACUUGCACACUCAUAUCACUUCACGAGCACCCUCCCCUCUCUUUUUCCCCCUCCUCCUCCUCUUUCUGUUUGUAUUAUUUUCACAGUUAACACACAUGGCGCCCUCUCCCAUCUUGAGUUCAGCUCAUUUAUGUCCCCUGUGAUGAAUGUGUCACACCGGCGACACUUAAACCGGAACGCACGUUUACACGCACAAACCCCCGCACAUAAACACAAACGGCCUCCGCGCGCUCCAUUCCCCGUGUCCGCUAGCCACAGCGAGAUCUGAUAAAUGGUUUUCGGUGCAGGUGCUUUUUUCAUUAAUACACCCUCACGUAGCUAGCCUCAUAGUACCCUUCAGCUAUCCAGCAUAUUACAAAGAAAAUAGACAGAGGCAGGAAAAGAGUGAAGUCGAGAGAAAAAGUGGAACACAAUCAAAAAAGAAGUCUUUUUCCCACUCCAGGACCCCAGGUGUUUCUGUUUACCGGGACAUUAUUUCAGAUAAAUUUGUCCUUUUACUUCGGAGUUAACACUUUUAUUUUUUCAUUGGGAGUAUUGAUUCGCCGAUAGGGAAUAUCUGUAUUGAGCAGCGUGUCACUUAAAAUGAUGCAUGAAAGGAUCAUAGGUCCCCGGUUCGCCAUAGCACACCACUAUCCAUUUGUGUCGUUCCUCUCGCUAAUAUAAGUAUCGGCGUUUAGAGCGAAACAGCCUCUGCAAUUUGUCAGCUGUUCUUUUGUGUUCAUCGUUUUGUUGUUCAUCACUACGAUGCAGAGGAGGAAGUUGCGCCACCGGAGAGCAGAGGUUAGGAAAUAAAGGUUUUAUUAUCCGACUUAAAUAUGAGGGAUGACGAAGAUAAACAACUUCUGUAAAUUUUGCAUACAGAGCCCCAUCCCCAUCCAUGUUUCCUCUCUCUCUCUGAGUUGAGAGAGCUAACCUCUCCCGCCUGGUGUAUUUUGGGAAACGGCCUUCUUCUUCUUCUUGGGUUGCAUAGACGGAGCCGACAGAAAUUAAUAAUGCGAUCUACCUGGGGCUGCGAGAACCGGAUUUAAGCUAUCGAUCCAGCACCCCAGUGAUUGAUUAAGAGACUAAAUACAAGUUCUUUUCAAUGUACUUCCUGCACAGAGGACUUUCUGUGUAACCUCUAAAAGUCUGGGUUGAGAUCGCGGACUGUUCAUUUGUAAAAAGGAGAAGUCGUCUUUUGGCAUGAGCGGCACGUAGGGUUAAGUAUAAAGUAAGAGCGCAAAGUGACGUUUAUCUCAACAAGCGAAAAUUGUUUUAUUCCAGAGCCGCCUCGCUUCUGAUGUUUGAAUAGAAAACACUCCAGUCUGUUAUAUGAAGUACUUAAGAGUCCAAGGGUGUGCUUUGAUGACAGCCUGUGCUGCUUCAGAUCAGGGGCAGGCGCUUGAUGUGUUAUGCCUUCACGCCCGCGGGGAAUUUGCAGCAAGUAGUUGACAUAUCCCACCGGGUGCAGAUCCUGGGGCUAACCUUGGACUUUUCAUAGAUUACAAUGUCUCUCCGCUGGCCUGAGGACAGGUGAAACUCCCCUGGGAGGAAGAGGGAGAGGGGAGAGGGUACGUGUGGCCUGCUCUUAAGACCUGCUGCCACGGUGACCCUCCCCAAAGGAAGGGAGGGAAAAAAAACGACAACUGUGCCAGAUGUUGAAAUGUGCAGAAAAGGGGGAAUGAAAGCCGCUCCCUGAAGGAUUUCAAAAAUGUUAUCAAAGCCUUUUUGAGGGGGGAAGAAAAUGAGCAGAGGAGCUUAAUAAUUCAGUUCUCAGUGUACAAACAAAGCAGGAUCUAAGACCAUCUCCUUAUAGAUAAUGUAUAUACUGAGGUUUCUGUAGAUGAGCUUCAAUCUCAUGAUGUUUGCUUUACAGCUGCAUCUUUGUAGAGUAACAGUUCCAAGAAAGAGAUUUGGUCCACAGCGAGACACUGGCGUAUGUAAAGCUUUUAAGCUCCCGAACAUCCAUCCUCUGGUGCUUUUUGAUGCCUGUACAUCUUUCUAUCUACAAUUGGACACAAUGUUGCGAAAGAUGACUGUGAUUACAAAUCCUAUUCUAUCUAAGAAGCUUUCUCUCGGGUUCAAGCAUUUUGUGUCAUCCAAAAAAUAAUACACACGAGUUAGCUUUGUAGCGCAAAUAACGCAGUUAAGGGAGCCGCUCUUAGAAAUACAUAAAGCCGGUUCCACUUUUCUGAAAUUGAGGACUAUUCUUGGACCAAACACAAAUUAUAUCUCAUCUUAUGUCAGGGAAUUUAAAGUCAGUUCUGUGAAAACACUCUAGAAAUGUGUUUGUGCUGACGUAUGUGAGUGGAUUAAGAAAAUGUCAAACACUUUGAGAUUUAUAUCUGCGAGGCUGGAUGGUCGCGAACUCAAAAUCACUACACAGAUUCAUGCCGUAGAUUACGCUUUAACAAUUAGUUUGGGUAAAUGUGCUCAUACAUAAUUCACAGGGUCUGCCUAUGAUAAAAUGCCCCCUAAUUCACUCAUUUACUGAUUGUAUUGGUCAAAAAUAAACAGAUAAAUUGAGGCAGGAUGUGAAAUUAUAAUGAAUUGAUGUAAGUCUGCGAAUGCUAUUUACCAAUGCAGCAGGUAAAAUGCAUUUUAAAGACUAUUUUAAUAAACUUUGCUAAUAUUCAGCUUUAUAUUCUUUAUAUUUGGUUUGUAAUAUCUUGAAAUUAGAGUUGCAUCUUGACCAGACCAUUUUACGGCCCGUGGAUGUCCCUGUUCGACCCUUCGUGAGAUCCGUCAAACAAAUUAUCACUAUGCUAUACAUGUGUGGUGCUUUUAUUUUGAAAACCUAGCCGUUGUUUUAUUUCCGUUUGGGCGCACGUGUGUACAUCCUAGAUCUGCAUUUGUAAACAUAGGAAAAAUUUACGUAGACGCCUUAUAGUGGUCAAGUCUGCUUGUUAUAAGAGAUAACUAGUAGUUGCUUAUUUAACCAUGACCUGGAUGAAUGAGACUCUACAUGGACUUAUUUGGGCUUGCUUUUCUGUAUGUGUGAGCCCCCCUGAUUUGAAGUUGAAGUUAUUGUUGGUUCGGCCCUCCAACACAAUUCAGGUUUCUCAUGUGGCCCCAUGUAAAAAUUAACUGUCCACCCCUGAUCUAGACCUUUUAGCUUUACAGGGCUAUGUGUUUUGUGUUAUGUGUUUUGACUUAAAGGCACUAAGAUGAGUUUUUACUGGUCUAGAAACAGUCUGAAACUAGUACGAUUUCAUUUUUUUUUAAAGUAUUUUUUUAUUUUAAGUUUUUUUAAGGAAUUUUUAUUUUCAGUAUUUUUUGCAGCAAUUUUGCCUUUAAUUGAUCGUACAGGGCGAAAUGUGGGGAGAUAGAGAGAGAGGGGGGAGGACAUGCAGCACAUGGUUGGGGCCAAACUCGAACCUGCAACCGCUGCGGGGACCGUGGUCCCCAUACAUGGGGCGCGCUAAUCAACUCAGCCAUCUAUGCGCCCCCUACGAUUCCUUUUCUAUGAUUUUGAAAAGCUAACAAGAAACUAGCAACAAGGAUAAAAAUUCUUUUAUUUUAAUUUUUAAUGCUUAAAAUCAGUGUUAAGGUCCUUACACACUGAGACUGCUGCAAAUACACAACAUGAAAUUACGAAAUAUUUUGAGGUGAAUUUUGACUACACACAUCAAGCGCGAUGCGAUUUUGAGACUUUCCAGAGGGAAAAAAAGAUGCAUCCUGGGUGGAAGCGAGAAGACUGAUACAACAGCAGACUGACUGUUUUUCAGUUCUGAUUAAACACUAGUGUUGAGAUGGCUGUCUGUCAUGGUAGCAUGUACUGAGUCGGGGCCAGUACCAGAUAAGCACAUUAAACUAUAAUCCAUAAACGUAAGGUAACAACCAAGACCUAAUGGUGCUGUGACAGCAACGUGAUUGAGUUUGAGACAGUGAAAAUACAUAUGGUAUGUUGUAGCUGAACAGGUUAGCUUACGAGCUAAAGUUACUUAGCACAGAUGAAAGUUAAAACAAAGACGUUUAGAAAAUUUGACCGUGAUACGAAAAAAUAAAUGCUGCAAUAUCGCAGGACGGGGCAAUGUCACUGAUGUGAACGCUUGUAUUGACAGGAUACAGGUUCGAAAAAAAUGUUGACAUCCGAAAUAAUCGCACGAAAAAAACGCUCCCGGUAUGUAAGGACCUUUAGGGGGUAUGGUGAGACGAGAUGAUUGCACAACACCACCAAAAGCCUCCUCUGCUUGGAGCUCAAGGACAUCCGUCUUGCCGUCGUAGGACAGAGCGAUCUAUUCUGAUUUAUUUCUUUAAUACAGAUUCCUUCAAUUGACGUGUGUAUUCAAAACAGCCACCUCCAUGUGACAAGCUCUCUUAUCAGCACAGCGGAGAAUGGAAGCAUUGUACACCAACCAUGACAAAUGAACUGCACACAGGAGCAUUAUCGGCGCUCUGUCAUAGAACUGAAUGACUGGGUCUAUCAGCAGUCAGUCUGAGGCACUGGGGAAUAUGUUCAUUAUGAGGAAUUUGAAUUUUUAAGAAAGUCGUGAAGGCUGCUGAUGAAAGUUUUAUCAUAAUGGCCUCUAGGUAUAUUAUGCUUCUUUCUUCCAAGAGAAAUUACUUGUAUGGUAAUCACGUCGUCUGUUUUUGAUACAGAAGUCAUUUGCACAAUAGGGCUGACGCUUUUUCUUCCAUUUUUCUCGGUCCGGGCUUUCGAAAUAAAAACGUGCCACAGGAGUCUUUUGAGAGACUGCCACAACCUUCAAACCGGGGGCCGCGUGAUAAAUGAAGUCAACUCUGUCUUCCUUUCGCCGCCUCGUCAUUUCGGAAGAAUUAAUAAAUGAAUGAGUUUGACUCAUGGCCCGAGGAGAGAAGUCUUUACAACAGGUGAAAAACUUGGCAAAGUUUCUCUCUCACAUUGAUUAGUUUAAUUAAGUAUGACCUUUUUUUUCAAGUACCAUACACUUCUUAGCAACACCAGUAUGCCACUGUGGAGAUCAUUCAAAGAGGGAAUUUUAAACCAAAGUUGUUCAGAGAAUAGACUUGUUUGUUUGCUGUUUCUGUAUUUAGGGGGUAAUAUAUGUUUCUUUGGAGGUAAAGAUGGCAGCAUCAUGAGCGCCACAGUUAACACACACUCCCAACCCUGAGAUGUGCAGCCGAGCCCUGUUUUAUAGGAGGACGUAAAUGUGAUAAAACUACCUUUGAAUCCCCUUUUGUUCGCCUUUCCAUCGCAUAGAUGCUGCACGUUCUCCUGCAAAACAACCCGAGGGAGAACUAAAGCAGCAGGAUCUCCUUUUAAGCAUUUUUUUUUCUUUUUUUUUAAGAAUAAAAACAGAUAAACACAAAACAUCCGUGUGAAAUGAUUGCGUUUUAUGCUUGGAGGAAAGCUGCCGGCGACUGCUCAAUAAAACAUUCCUAGAUUCCCCGUGUUAAGUCUUAAAUAUGGCCUCAACCAUGGGCAGACGGCGGGGAUUAAGACCCAGGAAUGUAAUCCACCUUCGGAACAAGCGUUAAAAACUAUGAUGUGAGCUCUGAAUGCAGAAAGAGACAUCAGUCCGCACUGUAAGGAUAGGACGCAUCUGGGCUUGUGUUUUAUGUUUAUGUAAUAUCUAACAUGAUAAAACGCAAAAAGUGGGUCGUGUACAGUACAUCAAAUUUACUGUAACACUGGAUAAGCAUGAGAUCACUCUUAGAAAUCUCAUACACUCUGCAUUUUUAAUAAAACUGGUGCGAAGAAAAUAAAACCUGCAGCAUUCAGUAUAUUAUGCUUUUAUUUUGAAGGUUUCCAACCAUGAUUGCUCAUAACUGCUGUUCGCAUCCACAUUAUAUUGAAUUUAAAGCCUAUACAAUAAGAUUUAAAGGGUAAAUUGUGAUUAAAAUACAAACUUAAUCUGUAUAAACUGCAUUUUUUUUUUACAAUUAAGAACCUCAGCAGAAAAUGCAAUGUCCCUGUACAGACUUAUAACACUAUUUCCAGCCUACAAAAGGUGCAAAAGGUGAAUAAUUAUGCAAAAGCCAUGUUCAAUCAGCCACACGCUGUAAUAGGUUUGUUAUUUGAAUGUACUGUGUUAGUAUGAAUACAGAAAACCAUUUCCAAAGGGCGAGGAUUAGUGUGAUCACCCAGUACUUAUCUCCACACAGCCUGGGUGGUAAAGGAUUUCCUGCAGCAGUUUUUUUUUUUCUAUGAACGAGCCAGCAACCAGGCAGCAGGAGGAGCUUAAAGUUACUGAAUGGGAUAUGGUUCAGCUUAGACAGGAUUUUGUCAGCUUCAUUCACAGACUUUUUUUUUUUUUUGGUCCACAUGAUCAUUACUGUCCUCUUCUCAAGGGCGUAAUAUUGCCACAGUGGCUAAAACUCCAAGGACGUUUGUGAAUUUUCUAAAUUUGUGUGAAAGUGUCAAGAUUAAAUUCCUGAGCAGAUGUGAUGAACUGGAAAUAAAUACCAAUACGUUUAUGACAAAAAAAAAAAAGAAAGGAAAAAUCAGAUGGUCAAGUGUGGAUCUGGUCUGGCAUUUAAGAGUUGUCUGAUAGAUCAAAAGAUUUAAAAGUAGAUUGGAUUACCCUAUAAGGGGAGUCAAUCCUUAAGGGACCCCUUGAAAUGGCUAAAAACACCCUUUUUGGGACAAAUCUUUGGCAAGCCGCCACAACAGUGCCCUUUAAACUUUUAAGCAUAAGCCGAAUCACUUUUCUCCGGUCUGGGGGUCUUCUUGUCUUUUGCCAAAUUUGAAGUGGAUUGGAUUAUCCCCAGAGGAGGAGACAUUCAUUGAAAGACCAAUGAAAAUAGUGAAAAAAGCGUCUUUUUGCAAGCACCUCUUAAAAAUGGAAGGUCGUUUAUUCAUCUGUUUUGUUUGUUUGUUUGUUUGUUUUAUUCUUAUAUUCAAACAGCUCUGCUUAGCCAUUUAGCCUCGCCCACCAAAAACAACAACAACAACAAAAAGAUUUAGCCCCACCCACCAAAAAAAUCCAACAAAUCAUCUUAUUUAGACAAGUUCUUUUACUUAGCCAAGCUUUUAAUUAAUUGGGGUUUUGUUCGUCUCUUUUACUUAUCUUUUGUAUCUGCACUUAUUUUCUGUACUCAUAUGUACUGUAUUUGUACUUGUGUAUGUAUCUGUAAAAUUAAAGUUACAUCUCGGCCUUUUAGCUCUAUGGGGCCUUGUGACAACAUAUGUUCUGACUAAAAGCCACUUUGAGGAGAUUUUACUGGUUUAGAAAUAGUCUGAAACUGAAAUGAUUCCUUUUGGGUUUUUUUUUAGUUGUUUUUUGGGGGGGGGGCGAUUUUGCCUUUUGUUGAUAGUACAGAAAGAAAUGUGGGGAGAUAGAGAGAGAGGGGGGAGGACAUGGAGUACAUGGUUGGGGCCGGACUCGAACCUGCAACCACUAACUUAGCCAUCUGUGCACCCUUAUGGUUCUUUUUUCUAUGAUUUUGAAAAGCAAACAAGAUCUUGGCAACAAGGAUAAUAAUUCUGUUAUUUUCAUUUUUAAUGCCCACCAAAAAAACAUUUUGCCCCGCCCACCAAAAAACCCAACAAAUCAUCUUAUUUAGACAAGCUCUUUUACUUAUCUUUUGUAUCUGCACUUAUUUUCUGUACCCAUCUGUACUGUAUUUGUAUUUGUGUAUACAUCUUUACUUAUCUUUUGUACCGUUUGUUUAUCUGAUUGCACUUAUUUUAUGUAAAGCGCUUUGUGAUUUUUAUCUGUGAAAAGCGCUCUAUAGAUAAACUUUUACUUACUUUUUUGCUUACUUAUUCUCCAUUGUGCUCAAAUUUAAGAUUUUGA
This is a non-coding RNA of Xyrichtys novacula (pearly razorfish), 10093 nucleotides long. The record is from the annotation of a GenBank genome assembly. NCBI's taxonomy places the organism in Eukaryota, Metazoa, Chordata, Actinopteri, Labriformes, Labridae.